Molecule: ribosomal RNA, 833 nt
Filed under: Yamadazyma gorgasii
Lineage: Eukaryota; Fungi; Ascomycota; Pichiomycetes; Serinales; Debaryomycetaceae
Description: LSU rRNA
Rfam family: Eukaryotic large subunit ribosomal RNA
Source: RNAcentral
AGCAUAUCAAUAAGCGGGAGGAAAAGAAACCAACAGGGAUUGCCUUAGUAGCGGCGAGUGAAGCGGCAAUAGCUCAAAUUUGAAAUCUGUCACCUUCGGUGUCCGAGUUGUAAUUUGAAGAAGGUAUCUUUGGUUUUGGCUCUUGUCUAUGUUCCUUGGAACAGGACGUCACAGAGGGUGAGAAUCCCGUGCGAUGAGAUGCCCAAUUCCAUGUAAAGUUCCUUCGACGAGUCGAGUUGUUUGGGAAUGCAGCUCUAAGUGGGUGGUAAAUUCCAUCUAAAGCUAAAUAUUGGCGAGAGACCGAUAGCGAACAAGUACUGUGAAGGAAAGAUGAAAAGAACUUUGAAAAGAGAGUGAAAAAGUACGUGAAAUUGUUGAAAGGGAAGGGCUUGAGAUCAGACUUGGAAUUUUCCAGCAAUGGAGCUUUCCGGGCCAGCAUCAGUUUGGAUGGCAGGAUAAUUGCGUAGAAAAGUAGCACUACUUCGGUGGUGUAUUAUAGUCUGCGUCGAUACUGCCUGUCUAGACUGAGGACUGCGUCUUUGACUAGGAUGCUGGCAUAAUGAUCUUAAGCCGCCCGUCUUGAAACACGGACCAAGGAGUCUAACGUCUAUGCGAGUGUUUGGGUGUAAAACCCGUACGCGUAAUGAAAGUGAACGUAGGUGAGAGCCUUAGGGUGCAUCAUCGACCGAUCCUGAUGUCUUCGGAUGGAUUUGAGUAAGAGCAUAGCUGUUGGGACCCGAAAGAUGGUGAACUAUGCCUGAAUAGGGUGAAGCCAGAGGAAACUCUGGUGGAGGCUCGUAGCGGUUCUGACGUGCAAAUCGAUCGUCGAAUUU